CUUAAUGCUUUCAAAGAUAAAUUUGCCACAUCAAUUCGUAGGUUUACACUGAAUUCACUCUAUUCUCAAGAAGUUAUCCUUUGGGACAAUACUACUGUCUCUACUUUUGUGGGAGAUGCCUUAGCUUAGUGUCUGUCUCUAAUGUCAAUCAUCUAUGUUGGGGAAUCAGAAUAGAAGAAUCAAGAAUAUAUAUAUUUGUAUAAAAAAAAAUUAUUAUGUUGGAUAUACUCAGAUGUUGCGGAGAAUGGGUGGACAGUGGAUACAGCAUCUCAAAUGGUGACUGUGAAGAAGCAAGCUGUUAAAAGAGAGCAAAAGGUGGAUUCAUCCAAGCUGCAACGCUUGACGGAGUAUGUGUUCCACCUUGAACACUAAACUCCUAUUAUGGGUUUCAGAUUAGCGAAAACUAAAAAGAUCAAACCAAAAUUUGUUUCGAAAAGAUGGCUAUAGCUUCAGUUUUAUGUUGAGAUUUAUUUCAGAAGUUUCCAAUCUACGCAACAUGUCUCGUCUUAACCCUAGUAUGGAUAUGAUCAGCUGUUUUGGUAUUAAAUUGAUAUCAUGCAUGUUAAUCAAAUAAUGAAAUCUUUAAAUACCCGACUGAAAAUGAGAAAACCAGAUGUUUGUCAAGUAAUUAGAGACUUUGGCGUGUAUUUCUGUGAUUUUAUUCUCCCCAAGAACGUUAUACUCUUUGGCUUCCCUCUCUGCGCUGUGACUUCACUCUCAUGUCUCUGAUAAGCAGAUUUUACCAUCGUACUUCAUUAACAAUUCUUUUAUAAAGUAUUUGACUGUAAAUUAUUAUGUUUUUAUUAUUAUUGUAAUUUAUAACUUUGUAAGAUAUUGUUAAACAUCAACUUUAUAUAUCUUUUACAUUAUUAUUAUUGCCAAAGAUCAAAUAUCUCAUGUGUAUCACGUAACAAUCUUCAACUUGUCAACGCCAACGCCAACAUCCCAUAGGGAUGUUAACAUGGGUAACCUAUGGGUUUACCCAAACCCACUAAUAAUAGGUUGGGUUUUUACCCGUCUAAGAUUUAUUGGGUCGAUUAUGGGUAUUAAUUUUGAAACCCAUAUUUAUGUUGGGUAAAUAUAGAAGGGUAAUGUCUCUAGGGUGGAUUUUGUGAGGAUAAUCGUUCGAUUUUAAUAAACAGGUUGCUUCGGAAGGAAUCUCUUUCCAUGAUGACUGGCCUUACGCAAUCCAUCUUCUCGGUUACUUCUACGUUGACGAUUGGUUAGUUAAAAAAUUCUUCUUUGAUUCUGUUGUUUGCGCCGUUAACUAACAGGUUGCGUUUGAUUGCUGUUGUUGUGUGGCUAAAUCUGGAAUGAUAAUAUUGUAGUGAUAGCGCUCGUUUCCUCUGGAAGACAAUCCCUACAAGUGUGAAGGAAAGCAAGCCUGAAGUUGUUGCUGCUUGGAGGAUUGGUCAGAGGCUCUGGACACGUGACUACGCAGGUGUGUAUGAAGCUAUUCGGGGUUAUGAUUGGAGUCCAGAAGCUAAAGAUAUGGUUGCUGCAUUCUCAGGUUAUUUUCUUCUGUGCUAAUACCUUUUUAGCUAGUAUGGCUUGUUUUUUUUUAACUAAGCUUUCUGACAGAUUACUAUAAACAUGUAAAGUGAUUGUUUACUCUUAUCUAGUUUUUAAAUCUGCAUAUUGAGAAUCUGAGAUCGGAUAGCUGUGUUGUUGUGUUAAUCUAGUGAGACCAGACUUGAAGAUUUGUGUUAACUGGUUUUUUCCAACUAAAAGCAUCAACUUUUGAUCGAAAUUGUGUGAAAUUGAACAUUUUUUUUUGCUCAUCUUUUGCAUUUACAAGACAUCAAUUGUUCAAUGCCUGGCCCUUAAAUUACCUCAUUGGUAAAACUAUAUAUUCCAUCAACACCUAACGCUAUUCCUGUCUUGUUUUUUGUUGAAGACGUUUACACAAAAAGGAUGUUUCAGCUUUUGUUGUCUGCCUACUCCACAAUUACCAUCCGCGAUUUGGCUCUUUUCCUAGGGAUGACAGAAGAUGAUGCCGCAACUUGUAAGCUUUCGUUCUUUCUGCAAUUUCCUUAAUGCUUUCAAAGAUAAAUUUGCCACAUCAAUUCGUAGGUUUACACUGAAUUCACUCUAUUCUCAAGAAGUUAUCCUUUGGGACAAUACUACUGUCUCUACUUUUGUGGGAGAUGCCUUAGCUUAGUGUCUGUCUCUAAUGUCAAUCAUCUAUGUUGGGGAAUCAGAAUAGAAGAAUCAAGAAUAUAUAUAUUUGUAUAAAAAAAAAUUAUUAUGUUGGAUAUACUCAGAUGUUGCGGAGAAUGGGUGGACAGUGGAUACAGCAUCUCAAAUGGUGACUGUGAAGAAGCAAGCUGUUAAAAGAGAGCAAAAGGUGGAUUCAUCCAAGCUGCAACGCUUGACGGAGUAUGUGUUCCACCUUGAACACUAAACUCCUAUUAUGGGUUUCAGAUUAGCGAAAACUAAAAAGAUCAAACCAAAAUUUGUUUCGAAAAGAUGGCUAUAGCUUCAGUUUUAUGUUGAGAUUUAUUUCAGAAGUUUCCAAUCUACGCAACAUGUCUCGUCUU
RNAcentral lists this long non-coding RNA (2540 nucleotides) under Brassica napus (rape). Its description in RNAcentral is "long non-coding RNA (BNAP_LNC003429)". The record is from RNAcentral. Lineage: Eukaryota; Viridiplantae; Streptophyta; Magnoliopsida; Brassicales; Brassicaceae.